CCAUUCAUGUUCAGAUGGAGGGCUAUUUGACAAGGACAAGGAUGGCGAGGGAGGGAGUUAUUUUCAUAUGAAGACCUCACAAAGUUGUUAACAGUUCAAAAGGAAAGCUAAUCCAUACAGUGUGCUGCAAUCAACUCUUAUCUGGGCAAUCCCUGGCCUCCCGCAGACCUAGCAGCAAUUGGAGAUUGACACAGGCAAGAGCUGGACCAUUGACUCCUUCAGAGCUGAAUCAACUGUGUGCACCUUUGCUCUGAAGUCCUUCGGGCCGAUCUUCCAUUGGAAACUGCUAGUGGGACGCUGGUGCUGCCUGGUCCAGGCCCUCAUGCUGAACAGUUGUGGUGCACCAGAAACUGCCAAUGGUGUGUAUGAGAGCUGUAAGGAGUCAGGAUUUGGUCUAACGGGAGUUUUAACAAUGUGGUGCACAUGAAGUAUGGACUUCAGGUUUGGUCAAAGCAUUCACAGAAAUAAAACCAUGGAUUUAGUGAUUAGUAGAAUGGGUUGCAGUUUGUAUGUGGUGAGGGAUGUAUAUCUGACACGUCAUGUGCCACCAUAAAACCAUUAGAGUAAAAACGGUGCAGUAGGCUUCUAAAAAUGUCCACAAUUGUCUUUGA
Long non-coding RNA from Malaclemys terrapin pileata, 611 nucleotides. RefSeq lists it as uncharacterized. The transcript is spliced from 3 exons. Lineage: Eukaryota; Metazoa; Chordata; Testudines; Emydidae. The record is from RefSeq and is a predicted model, not a curated record.